UAGGGAAUCUUCCACAAUGGACGAAAGUCUGAUGGAGCAACGCCGCGUGAGUGAAGAAGGAUUUCGGUUCGUAAAACUCUGUUGUAAGGGAAGAACAAGUACAGUAGUAACUGGCUGUACCUUGACGGUACCUUAUUAGAAAGCCACGGCUAACUACGUGCCAGCAGCCGCGGUAAUACGUAGGUGGCAAGCGUUGUCCGGAAUUAUUGGGCGUAAAGCGCGCGCAGGCGGUCCUUUAAGUCUGAUGUGAAAGCCCACGGCUCAACCGGGGAGGGUCAUUGGAAACUGGGGGACUUGAGUGCAGAAGAGGAAAGUGGAAUUCCAAGUGUAGCGGUGAAAUGCGUAGAGAUUUGGAGGAACACCAGUGGCGAAGGCGACUUUCUGGUCUGUGACUGACGCUGAGGCGCGAAAGCGUGGGGAGCAAACAGG
RNAcentral lists this ribosomal RNA (429 nucleotides) under bacterium. RNAcentral describes it as "partial 16S ribosomal RNA". It matches the Rfam family "Bacterial small subunit ribosomal RNA", at positions 355 to 776 of the family's 1533-position model. The record is from RNAcentral.